Cervus elaphus (red deer) is the source of this 1328-nucleotide long non-coding RNA. RefSeq lists it as uncharacterized. The transcript has 6 exons. The record is from RefSeq and is a predicted model, not a curated record. Lineage: Eukaryota; Metazoa; Chordata; Mammalia; Artiodactyla; Cervidae.
CCCAGCGCAGCCAUAUUUAUUUAAUUUUUUUUUAUAAAAAGCUAAACAAAUUCCUUUAAAAAAAAAAGAGUGAAGAGGAUUGACUUCAGGCUUUCCCCAAGCUUGGAAAGAAGCCUGACGGAUUUGACUUGAUUAAUCCAACGUGACCUGGCCUGCUCAGUGUCCUGGAGUGGUGGGUCGCGGUGGUUUCAGGGGCUCAUCAAAAAUCCCCUUCUCCUGUUGACCUGGAGGAAAGACCCGGAAGACCCGUCCCCGUGAGGACGGCACCGCCUCGGGAGCGGAAGUGGCAGUGUGGAGGCGGCCGGCCGACACUCGGUCUGAAGGCCGGGCCAGGCAGCGGGAGAGGACGGCGGAGGACGGCGGGAAUCCACUGGGGCAACGGAGGAGGUGAAAUUAAACCUAAGAACUCAGAGGAUACUCGGAAUGGAAGUGGGCUUCUUUGAACAUCUCCCUCCAGAGCGGAUGCUGUAGAUGCUCCCUCCCAGCAGAUGCUGGGUCCAUGGCUCCGGAGCAGACGCUACAAAUCUUUGCUGACUUACCCACUAAGUCACAUUGACCCUAUGGACUAUGGCCCGCCAGGCGCCUCUGCCCAUGGGAUUCUCCAGGCAAGAAUACUGGAGUGGUUUGCCGUGCCCUCCUCCAGGGGAUCUUCCGACCCAGGAACCGAACCUGUAUCUCCUGAACUGCAGGCAGAUUCUUUACCACUGAGCCACCAGGGAGAGAAGUAGAUUCCACACCUUAUGAUGUGGUUCCAUUUCUUCUUGACAGUCAAAACAACAGAAGAAAAUCUUAUUGUGUAAAUCCUGUUAAUGAAAAAAACCACAGGCCCCAGAUUGUGUCACCUGUGCUAACACCCAUGAUACCAAACCUAGACCCAGCUGCAGGUUCAACCUUUUCCAAGUGUACAGCAAGGAGAAUCAGUUAAAAUUGGGCAGUCUGGAACCUUUUGGCCCACACCACUGAGGGCCCCCGGGACUUCUCCACCAUUAGCACCAAGCCCCACUUCAAGGGAAGAAGAGGCUUAUCACAGAAUAUGGAGUAGAGUUCCCUAUGCUGUACAGUAGAUUCUUGUUGGUUGUCUAUUUUAUGUAUAAUUGUGUAUGUUCGUCCCAAGCUUCUGUUUUAUCCCUACUCUCUUUGUUGUUUAGUCGCUAAACUGUGCCCAACUCUUUUGUGACUCCAUGGACUGCAGCCCACUGGGCUCCUCUGUGGGAUUUCCCAGGCAAGAAUACUGGAGUGGGUUGUCACUUCCUUUUUCAUCCCUCCCCUUUAAUUCAGUGUUAAUUUCAAAUGUUCCCUUAGUGGAAACAUUUUUUUUUUAAAUUUUA